Molecule: ribosomal RNA, 458 nt
Filed under: uncultured bacterium
Lineage: Bacteria
Description: partial 16S ribosomal RNA
Rfam family: Bacterial small subunit ribosomal RNA
Source: RNAcentral
CCUACGGGAGGCAGCAGUGAGGAAUAUUGGUCAAUGGGCGAGAGCCUGAACCAGCCAAGUCGCGUGAGGGAGUACUGCCCUAUGGGUUGUAAACCUCUUUUGUCGGGGAGCAAAAGCCGGACGUGUCCGGCUGUGAGAGUACCCGAAGAAAAAGCAUCGGCUAACUCCGUGCCAGCAGCCGCGGUAAUACGGAGGAUGCGAGCGUUAUCCGGAUUUAUUGGGUUUAAAGGGUGCGCAGGUGGAUUUUUAAGUCAGCGGUCAAAUCGUGGGGCUCAACCCCAUCCAGCCGUUGAAACUGGGGAUCUAGAGUGUGCGAGAGGUAUGCGGAAUGCGUGGUGUAGCGGUGGAAUGCGUAGAUAUAUGGAAGAACACCAGUGGCGAAGGCGGCUGUCUGGUCUGCAACUGACGCUGAGGCUCGAAAGCAUGGGUAGCGAACAGGAUUAGAUACCCGAGUAGUC